GAAUGGCAUCACGAGAACUAAUCUGUCUCCCUCCCCUAAUCAGUGAAACUGAUCUCCCCGUGCAGAAGCGGGGAUAAUAUCAUAAGACGAGAAGACCCUGUGGAGCUUAAAAUCAAAAAUCAACUGCUUCUCCCACCUAUACUAAAGAAACAUUUUCCGCAAGCCUGAUUUAGAUUUUCAGCUGGGGCGGCUGUGGAGAAAAAUAAAUCCUCCACGAAUAUUUAUGCUGAAAGCCACCGCGAUAGGCAUUAAUAAACUUAAUUUUAAUUGACCCAAUUUUUGAUCAACGAACCAAGUUACCCCAGGGAUAACAGCGCAAUCCACUUUCAGAGUCCUUAUCGACAAGUGGGCUUACGACCUCGAUGUUGGAUCAGGGCAUCCUAGUGGUGCAGCCGCUACUAAAGGUUCGUUUGUUCAACGAUUAAAGCCCU
RNAcentral lists this ribosomal RNA (431 nucleotides) under Leptobrachella minima. RNAcentral describes it as "Leptolalax minimus partial 16S ribosomal RNA". It matches the Rfam family "Bacterial large subunit ribosomal RNA", at positions 1994 to 2597 of the family's 2925-position model. Lineage: Eukaryota; Metazoa; Chordata; Amphibia; Anura; Megophryidae. The record is from RNAcentral.